RNAcentral lists this ribosomal RNA (250 nucleotides) under uncultured bacterium. RNAcentral's name for it is "partial 16S ribosomal RNA". It matches the Rfam family "Bacterial small subunit ribosomal RNA", at positions 524 to 771 of the family's 1533-position model. The record is from RNAcentral.
UACGUAGGGGGCAAGCGUUGUCCGGAAUCAUUGGGCGUAAAGCGCGUGUAGGCGGUUACGUAAGUCUGCUGUGAAAGUCGGAGGCUCAACCUUCGAAAGCCGGUGGAUACUGCGUGACUAGAGUACGGAAGAGGAGAGUGGAAUUCCCGGUGUAGCGGUGAAAUGCGCAGAUAUCGGGAAGAACACCCGUGGCGAAGGCGGCUAGCUCUCGGGACGGUACUGACGCUGAGACGCGAAAGCGUGGGAGCGA